Siniperca chuatsi (mandarin fish) is the source of this 1025-nucleotide long non-coding RNA. RefSeq lists it as uncharacterized. NCBI's taxonomy places the organism in Eukaryota, Metazoa, Chordata, Actinopteri, Centrarchiformes, Sinipercidae. The transcript has 3 exons. The record is from RefSeq and is a predicted model, not a curated record.
UUUAAAGGAAUAGUUUGACAUUCAAUGGGAAAUAUGCUUAUUUGUUUUCUUGCCAAGAGUUACAUGAAAAGAUUAACACCACUCCCAUGCCUGUGCGGUAAAUAUAAGGCUAUAGCUACCAGCCAGCUGGCUUAGCUUAGCACAAUGACAUAAAAUAGGAAAUAGGGGGAAACGGCUAGCCUGGCUCUGUCCAAAAGUAACAAAAUCCACCUACCAGCACCUCAGUUCAGUAAUUAGACUUUAUUAGACUUUAUAUCUCAUGUGCUUAUUCCUGCCCCCAUUCAGGACUGUCUCAUCUACUGCGUGGGAGUAAUGGAGGUGGGGAGGUCAACCAGACGUACAUGCCAAACCAACCAGCUGAGAUGAGAUCUUCGACUGGCUUGAGGAACUACUUUGGCACAUGUGGCAGCCUCCUAUGCAUCUACUUCAUUUCAAGACAGUAGUUUGUUCCCUACAGCUCAGUCUUUGUUUCUCUAUCUCCGGCUCCGGCCUUCUAUGUUAGCUGCUUGAAUCCCCUGUGACACUCAACCCACUAUGCAUCUUUUGACAUGUUUGUUUAAUAAAUUACAAAAAAUACCAAAGAGACAUGUAGCACUCACUUAUGAUGAAUUAUGAAAUUGUCCACAAAUACCUCUGGCUAUUGUACAGACACUGAAUAGAGAUCUUGCUCAUUUAUCUGCAUCAAUAAAUUGGCAAAGGAAUUGGAAAAAUAUCACACUGUCUCCAACAAGGACAUCAUUUCCACUGGGGAUGGGGGGGAUCCUCAUCAGUUAUUACCGUGUGCUCACAUCAUUUAAGCUUCACAAGUAGAAGUGAAUGAUUUAAAGUGAGGUUUUAUGAGGUAAAAAAAAAACACAAGUGAAUGCUUUGGGGGUGUUAUGAUUCUUACCAAUUCAAUUACUGUAUAUAGUCGAUUCCCUAUUUUUAAAUUUACCGCUGCAGUUCAACUCACUACCAUUCUUAACCACAUGGUAAAACAACCGGUAAAUGAUCAGUUAUAUAUAUUUGCACCACAUGCACACACA